This is a non-coding RNA of Lolium perenne, 1115 nucleotides long. The record is from RefSeq and is a predicted model, not a curated record. NCBI's taxonomy places the organism in Eukaryota, Viridiplantae, Streptophyta, Magnoliopsida, Poales, Poaceae.
UUGGCGGGGAACGAGCGCCGUUGCCUUCAGAGAACGUCCCGUUUAACGUUGCCGCGCCACCGCGGUGACAUGAGUGCGCUCCGAAUUUGAGAACAACCGUGAACAGGUGUUGCCUCUACCUCUCCACAGUUAGUGGUAGGAUACGUAACAUUCUGCGCCGAUCCUCAAUCAACGGAUGCCGUUGCCUUAAGAGAACGUCGCCGUGCAACGUUACCGUUGCUGCGGUGACACCAGCGCGCUGUGGACACUCAGGACGCCUACACAGAGCAAUCCCACCGUGCUUACGCGUGGUGGGAGGCUCGGGAGGCUUGACCGAUGUUGGCUACGCGAGCGCAUGAGUAGCUUUGGACCCGUGUCUGCCGGUAGAUCCCCCGUCUUCGUGCGGCCGACUACAGGCGCCGUGUCCCGUCGUUCGUUUGGCUUAUAUGAUGAUGUCGCCUUUCAAGUGCUUGCGUGCUGGUACCCGACCUACGGGAAGUGGUGCUUCUAACACGUUUGCCUCGCGGUGGACACCUUCGGGUGUGCCGCUGCGGCCUAACGGCGCUUGCGGCGUUUCCUCGUGGUUCCGGCACUCCUAGUGCCCGGUGCUACCAAGGCAGCCUCGCUCCCGCUGUUGGUCUCGGAUGUUGCUCACGAUAAAGAGUCUUGGCAACCUUUUGGUUGCUAGGACCUGACCCUUAAGCUGCUCUCCGAAUUUGAGAACAACCGUGAACAGGUGUUGCCUCUACCUCUCCACAGUUAGUGGUAGGAUACGUAACAUUCUGCGCCGAUCCUCAAUCAACGGAUGCCGUUGCCUUAAGAGAACGUCGCCGUGCAACGUUACCGUUGCUGCGGUGACACCCGCGCGCUGUGGACACUCAAGACGCCUACACAGAGCAAUCCCACCGUGCUUACGCGUGGUGGGAGGCUCGGGAGGCUUGACCGAUGUUGGCUACGCGAGCGCAUGUCCCGAACAGAGAAAGCGCACGUUCCCCGUCUAUUGGCGGGGAACAAGCGCCGUUGCCUUCAGAGAACGUCCCGUUUAACGUUGCCGCGCCACCGCGGUGACAUGAGUGCGCUCCAAAUUUGAGAACAACCGUGAACAGGUGUUGCCUCUACCUCUCCACAGUUAGUGG